UCCCUUUUCAAGUGUUUACUCAGUUGUAAACAAACUUCAGUCAGUCCUCGCACGCAGUUAUGCAAGUUUCAUAGAAAACGUGAAUGCCGUAGCUCCGUUCUGUUUUGUUAAAAAAUUGAAGCUAUGCGAUACGGACGGUCCAGGCUGCCGGAAAUAAUCCUCGUGACAGUAUUCGGUAUAGGAGGUGGAUUCUACGCUUUUCAGCCGGCAUUCAAGCAGUACCAGGUUGACCACGAGAGGACGUCAUCGGGGAAGCUUGAGGAAGGUCAAACGGCACCAGUUGGGAAAUAGAACCAGUGCAACCAGAAGCAAAGAAUCAAGAUGUCCACCCUAGUCAACAUGUACCGCGCCCUGCGAGGAUCUCCGGUAACGCUUCUGGGUGGCGCCAUUCUCAUCACCGGAUCCGUAAUGUUUGUCGUAAAGAGAGUUUACGAACCGUACAAGGCGCGGAACCGUAGAGCCGAAGCGGAGUACAUAGCGGACUAUCUGUUCAGGAAAGAGCAGGAGUCCCGGGGGGUGGAGUUCCACGACGACAAUGUAACAUUGAAGGAUUAGUGUUUAGGAUGGAUUUGGAUAAAGUAUGUUACAAAUAAAAUUUAGAAUCUAUUUCAUUUUAA
Molecule: long non-coding RNA, 617 nt
Organism: Aedes aegypti (yellow fever mosquito)
Lineage: Eukaryota; Metazoa; Arthropoda; Insecta; Diptera; Culicidae
Exons: 2
Source: RefSeq, a predicted model, not a curated record